UUGAUGGAGAGUUUGAUCCUGGCUCAGGACGAACGCUGGCGGCGUGCCUAAUACAUGCAAGUCGGGCGGAGCCCGAGGGGAGCUUGCUCCUUAUCGGGCUCAGCGGCGGACGGGUGAGUAACACGUGGGUAACCUGCCCGUAAGACCGGGAUAACUCCGGGAAACCGGGGCUAAUACCGGAUAACACCGGGGGCCGCAUGGCUUCCGGUU
Molecule: ribosomal RNA, 210 nt
Filed under: Caldibacillus debilis
Lineage: Bacteria; Bacillati; Bacillota; Bacilli; Caryophanales; Bacillaceae
Description: partial 16S ribosomal RNA
Rfam family: Bacterial small subunit ribosomal RNA
Source: RNAcentral